AGCGUACACGGUGGAUGCCCUGGCAGUCAGAGGCGAUGAAGGACGUGCUAAUCUGCGAUAAGCGUCGGUAAGGUGAUAUGAACCGUUAUAACCGGCGAUUUCCGAAUGGGGAAACCCAGUGUGAUUCGUCACACUAUCAUUAACUGAAUCCAUAGGUUAAUGAGGCGAACCGGGGGAACUGAAACAUCUAAGUACCCCGAGGAAAAGAAAUCAACCGAGAUUCCCCCAGUAGCGGCGAGCGAACGGGGAGCAGCCCAGAGCCUGAAUCAGUGUGUGUGUUAGUGGAAGCGUCUGGAAAGGCGUGCGAUACAGGGUGACAGCCCCGUACACAAAAAUGCACAUGCUGUGAGCUCGAUGAGUAGGGCGGGACACGUGGUAUCCUGUCUGAAUAUGGGGGGACCAUCCUCCAAGGCUAAAUACUCCUGACUGACCGAUAGUGAACCAGUACCGUGAGGGAAAGGCGAAAAGAACCCCGGCGAGGGGAGUGAAAAAGAACCUGAAACCGUGUACGUACAAGCAGUGGGAGCCUCUUUAAUGGGGUGACUGCGUACCUUUUGUAUAAUGGGUCAGCGACUUAUAUUCUGUAGCAAGGUUAACCGAAUAGGGGAGCCGAAGGGAAACCGAGUCUUAACUGGGCGUUAAGUUGCAGGGUAUAGACCCGAAACCCGGUGAUCUAGCCAUGGGCAGGUUGAAGGUUGGGUAACACUAACUGGAGGACCGAACCGACUAAUGUUGAAAAAUUAGCGGAUGACUUGUGGCUGGGGGUGAAAGGCCAAUCAAACCGGGAGAUAGCUGGUUCUCCCCGAAAGCUAUUUAGGUAGCGCCUCGUGAAUUCAUCUCCGGGGGUAGAGCACUGUUUCGGCAAGGGGGUCAUCCCGACUUACCAACCCGAUGCAAACUGCGAAUACCGGAGAAUGUUAUCACGGGAGACACACGGCGGGUGCUAACGUCCGUCGUGAAGAGGGAAACAACCCAGACCGCCAGCUAAGGUCCCAAAGUCAUGGUUAAGUGGGAAACGAUGUGGGAAGGCCCAGACAGCCAGGAUGUUGGCUUAGAAGCAGCCAUCAUUUAAAGAAAGCGUAAUAGCUCACUGGUCGAGUCGGCCUGCGCGGAAGAUGUAACGGGGCUAAACCAUGCACCGAAGCUGCGGCAGCGACACUAUGUGUUGUUGGGUAGGGGAGCGUUCUGUAAGCCGUUGAAGGUGGCCUGUGAGGGUUGCUGGAGGUAUCAGAAGUGCGAAUGCUGACAUAAGUAACGAUAAAGCGGGUGAAAAGCCCGCUCGCCGGAAGACCAAGGGUUCCUGUCCAACGUUAAUCGGGGCAGGGUGAGUCGACCCCUAAGGCGAGGCCGAAAGGCGUAGUCGAUGGGAAACAGGUUAAUAUUCCUGUACUUGGUGUUACUGCGAAGGGGGGACGGAGAAGGCUAUGUUGGCCGGGCGACGGUUGUCCCGGUUUAAGCGUGUAGGCUGAUUUUCCAGGCAAAUCCGGAGAAUCAAGGCUGAGGCGUGAUGACGAGGCACUACGGUGCUGAAGCAACAAAUGCCCUGCUUCCAGGAAAAGCCUCUAAGCAUCAGGUAACAUCAAAUCGUACCCCAAACCGACACAGGUGGUCAGGUAGAGAAUACCAAGGCGCUUGAGAGAACUCGGGUGAAGGAACUAGGCAAAAUGGUGCCGUAACUUCGGGAGAAGGCACGCUGAUGGUAGGUGAAGCGACUUGCUCGUGGAGCUGAAAUCAGUCGAAGAUACCAGCUGGCUGCAACUGUUUAUUAAAAACACAGCACUGUGCAAACACGAAAGUGGACGUAUACGGUGUGACGCCUGCCCGGUGCCGGAAGGUUAAUUGAUGGGGUCAGCCGCAAGGCGAAGCUCUUGAUCGAAGCCCCGGUAAACGGCGGCCGUAACUAUAACGGUCCUAAGGUAGCGAAAUUCCUUGUCGGGUAAGUUCCGACCUGCACGAAUGGCGUAAUGAUGGCCAGGCUGUCUCCACCCGAGACUCAGUGAAAUUGAACUCGCUGUGAAGAUGCAGUGUACCCGCGGCAAGACGGAAAGACCCCGUGAACCUUUACUAUAGCUUGACACUGAACAUUGAGCCUUGAUGUGUAGGAUAGGUGGGAGGCUUUGAAGUGUGGACGCCAGUCUGCAUGGAGCCGACCUUGAAAUACCACCCUUUAAUGUUUGAUGUUCUAACGUGGACCCGUGAUCCGGGUUGCGGACAGUGUCUGGUGGGUAGUUUGACUGGGGCGGUCUCCUCCUAAAGAGUAACGGAGGAGCACGAAGGUUGGCUAAUCCUGGUCGGACAUCAGGAGGUUAGUGCAAUGGCAUAAGCCAGCUUGACUGCGAGCGUGACGGCGCGAGCAGGUGCGAAAGCAGGUCAUAGUGAUCCGGUGGUUCUGAAUGGAAGGGCCAUCGCUCAACGGAUAAAAGGUACUCCGGGGAUAACAGGCUGAUACCGCCCAAGAGUUCAUAUCGACGGCGGUGUUUGGCACCUCGAUGUCGGCUCAUCACAUCCUGGGGCUGAAGUAGGUCCCAAGGGUAUGGCUGUUCGCCAUUUAAAGUGGUACGCGAGCUGGGUUUAGAACGUCGUGAGACAGUUCGGUCCCUAUCUGCCGUGGGCGCUGGAGAACUGAGGGGGGCUGCUCCUAGUACGAGAGGACCGGAGUGGACGCAUCACUGGUGUUCGGGUUGUCAUGCCAAUGGCACUGCCCGGUAGCUAAAUGCGGAAGAGAUAAGUGCUGAAAGCAUCUAAGCACGAAACUUGCCCCGAGAUGAGUUCU
Molecule: ribosomal RNA, 2773 nt
Filed under: human gut metagenome
Description: bacterial LSU rRNA
Rfam family: Bacterial large subunit ribosomal RNA
Source: RNAcentral